Molecule: ribosomal RNA, 253 nt
Filed under: uncultured bacterium
Lineage: Bacteria
Description: partial 16S ribosomal RNA
Rfam family: Bacterial small subunit ribosomal RNA
Source: RNAcentral
UACGUAGGGAGCAAGCGUUGUCCGGAAUCAUUGGGCGUAAAGCGCGCGUAGGUGGCCCCAUAAGUCCGCUGUGAAAGUCAAAGGCUCAACCUUUGAAAGCCGGUGGAUACUGUGGGACUAGAGUACGGAAGAGGCGAGUGGAAUUCCUGGUGUAGCGGUGGAAUGCGCAGAUAUCAGGAGGAACACCAAUAGCGAAGGCGGCUCUCUGGGACGGUACUGACGCUGAGACGCGAAAGCGUGGGGAGCGAACAGG